UACGUAGGGUGCAAGCGUUGUUCGGAAUCAUUGGGCGUAAAGCGCGCGUAGGUGGCUAGUUAAGUUGGAUGUGAAAUCCCUGGGCUCAACCGAGGAAGUGCAUUCAAAACUGGCUGGCUAGAAGAUGGUAGAGGAAGGUGGAAUUCCAAGUGUAGAGGUGAAAUUCGUAGAUAUUUGGAGGAACACCGGCGGCGAAGGCGGCCUUCUGGGCCAUUCUUGACACUGAGACGCGAAAGCGUGGGGAGCAAACAGG
RNAcentral lists this ribosomal RNA (253 nucleotides) under uncultured bacterium. RNAcentral describes it as "partial 16S ribosomal RNA". It matches the Rfam family "Bacterial small subunit ribosomal RNA", at positions 524 to 776 of the family's 1533-position model. The record is from RNAcentral.